UACGGAGGGUGCAAGCGUUAUCCGGAUUUACUGGGUUUAAAGGGUGCGUAGGCGGCCAACUAAGUCAGACGUGAAAUCCCUCAGCUUAACUGGGGAACUGCGUCUGAUACUGGAUGGCUUGGAUUCGGGAGAGGAAUGCGGAAUUCCAGGUGUAGCGGUGAAAUGCGUAGAUAUCUGGAGGAACACCGGUGGCGAAGGCGGCAUUCUGGACCGACAUUGACGCUGAGGAGCGAAAGCCAGGGGAGCAAACGGG
Molecule: ribosomal RNA, 253 nt
Filed under: uncultured bacterium
Lineage: Bacteria
Description: partial 16S ribosomal RNA
Rfam family: Bacterial small subunit ribosomal RNA
Source: RNAcentral